This 494-nucleotide ribosomal RNA is filed under the name uncultured bacterium. Its description in RNAcentral is "bacterial SSU rRNA". It matches the Rfam family "Bacterial small subunit ribosomal RNA", at positions 903 to 1397 of the family's 1533-position model. The record is from RNAcentral.
AAAUGAAUAGACGGGGAGCCGCACAAGCAGUGGAGUAUGUGGUUUAAUUCGAAGCAACGCGAAGAACCUUACCAGGGCUUGACAUGCAAGUUGAUAAUACAGAGAUGUAUUAGCCCUUCGGGGGACUUGUGCAGGUGGUGCAUGGUUGUCGUCAGCUCGUGUCGUGAGAUGUUGGGUUAAGUCCCGCAACGAGCGCAACCCCUAUAUUUAGUUACUAACGCGUAGAGGCGAGGACUCUAGAUAGACUGCCGUAGAUAAUACGGAGGAAGGUGGGGACGACGUCAAAUCAUCAUGCCCUAUAUGUCCUGGGCAACACACGUACUACAAUGGCUACUACAGAAAGAAACGAAUUCGUGAGGAAGAGUAAAACUAAGAAAAGUAGUCUCAGUUCGGAUUGAAGGCUGAAAUUCGCCUUCAUGAAGUCGGAAUUGCUAGUAAUUGCAGGUCAGCAUACUGCAGUGAAUACGUUCCCGGCUCUUGUACACACCGCCCGU